AGUAACAGUGACAAUAGCAGUAACAGUGACAGUAAUAGUAAAAGUCGUAAUAAAGAAAAUAAAAUAUUCGAAAACUUUUGCAACAUAUUUAUUGAAGAUGAUAAUAACCCGAACAGUAGUAAUCUAACACCACCACCACAAAGUCUUCCUAAUUAUAGAUAUGAUCAACAAAGUAAUGGUUAUAAUUAUUAUUCCAAAAAAAACAAAACAGAAUCAAUGUUAAAAUAUAAUAAUAUUAUAAAAAAAAGUAAAUAUACAAAUUCACAUAAAUUAUCGAAAUAUUUCAAAUUUUUUAUUUUUAAUACAGUAAAAAAUAUAUUUCAUAAUAUAGUCUCUAGUCUUAACACCCAAUUGUUGAAAGAUGUCAAAAAACAACAACAACAAAACCAAUACAAUAAUAAUAAUAAUAAUACUGCUACAACACCUUAUAAAGAAAAUGAUCAAAUUCAGAAUGAAACAACAUUUGUAUUUACGAAUUUAAAAAAUGCACUGGAGGUAGUUAAUAGUAAUGAAUAUGUUGCAAAAGAUACUGAAAAUAAAGAUGUUUUUAGUCAUACGUUCUCAAAUAAAAAUAUAAAAGAUAAUAAAGAAUAUAUGACAGGUGAAAUAGAUUAUAAACAUAUAGUAAGUCAAAAAAGUAGUAAUAAUAUAAUACCUAUUGAAGAAAUUCAUAUGAAUACCAAAAGUGAUAUUACCAACUCAUAUAUAAACGUCAUCGACAAAUAUAUAAACGAAAUAAUAGUUGAAAUUUUAUUUUAUUCAAAUAUAUGGAAAAUGUAUUUAUCCAUAGAAGAACAUCCAUUAAUGGUGUUACAUGCUGCUCAUAAAACAUUAUACCAUGAAAUAGUUAACUUUUUAAAACAAAAUAAAAAUUAUAAUGACAGUUUAUUUACCCAAUGUUUAUCUAUUAUUUUGUCUUUGUAUAAUUUUAAUUUACUUAAUAAAGAAAUUAUUUUGCAAGCUAAUAUAUAUAAAAAGGUAAACACCUUACGUAAUAAUAAAAAUAAAAGAGGUGAUGCUGCUUAUGGUGGUACAGAUGGUACUGCUGCUGCUGCUGGUUCUGACAAUGCUCCUUCUGGUGCAACACCCUCUACUCCCAAACAUAACAAGAUGGAAACAAAAAUUUUUAAAUAUUAUACAACUAGAGGCUCGAUUAUAACUAUGAAUAGCACCAACAAUGUAGAAAACAAUUACUACAACAAAAAUGUGUUUCCGCUAAACGAAAACUUAAAAAAU
Piliocolobus tephrosceles (Ugandan red Colobus) is the source of this 1236-nucleotide long non-coding RNA. NCBI's taxonomy places the organism in Eukaryota, Metazoa, Chordata, Mammalia, Primates, Cercopithecidae. The record is from Ensembl.